CCUACGGGAGGCAGCAGUGGGGAAUAUUGCACAAUGGGGGAAACCCUGAUGCAGCGACGCCGCGUGAGUGAAGAAGGUAUUCGGUACGUAAAGCUCUAUUUGUAGGGAAGAAAAUGAGGGUACCUGAGUACGAAGCCCCGUCUAACUACGAGCCAGCAGCCGCGGUAAUACGUAGGGGGCAGGCGUUAUCCGGAUUGACUGGGGGUAAAGGGAGCGUAGGCGGUUUGCCAAGUCUGGUGUGAAAUGCCGUGGCUUAACCGCGGAACUGCUUUGGAAACUGGCGAACUAGAGUGCGGGAGGGGUGAGCGGAAUUCCUGGUGUAGCGGUGAAAUGCGUAGAUAUUAGGAGGAACACCGGUGGCGAAGGCGGCUUACUGGACUGUAACUGACGUUGAGGCUCGAAAGCGUGGGGAGCAAACAGGAUUAGAUACCCUAGUAGUC
Molecule: ribosomal RNA, 440 nt
Filed under: uncultured bacterium
Lineage: Bacteria
Description: partial 16S ribosomal RNA
Rfam family: Bacterial small subunit ribosomal RNA
Source: RNAcentral